This 775-nucleotide ribosomal RNA is filed under the name uncultured Neocallimastigales. RNAcentral's name for it is "partial large subunit ribosomal RNA". It matches the Rfam family "Eukaryotic large subunit ribosomal RNA", at positions 24 to 616 of the family's 3401-position model. The record is from RNAcentral. Lineage: Eukaryota; Fungi; Neocallimastigomycota; Neocallimastigomycetes; Neocallimastigales.
UACGACUACAUAUCAGGCAUAUCAAUAAGCGGAGGAAAAGAAACUAACAAGGAUUCCCUUAGUAACGGCGAGUGAAGCGGGAAGAGCUCAAAUUUGAAAUCUUCAAGGUUUUACCUUGACGAAUUGUAGUUUAAAGAAGUGUUUUCUGUUGAAGUUUUGGUAAAAGUUCUUUGGAAUAGGACAUCAUAGAGGGUGAGAAUCCCGUAUUUGACCAUUAUUUUCAGCUGUGUGAUACACUUUCAAAGAGUCGGAUUGUUUGGGAAUGCAGUCCAAAAUGGGUGGUAAAUUUCAUCUAAAGCUAAAUAUUGGCGAGAGACCGAUAGCGAACAAGUACCGUGAGGGAAAGAUGAAAAGAACUUUGAAAAGAGAGUUAAACAGUACGUGAAAUUGUCAAAAGGGGAAGCGUUUGACACCAGUGUUGUUUUCUCGAAAAUCAAUUAAAAAUAGUUGGAUUUUGUGUUGUAUUGACCUUAACAGCUUGCUUCACUCUUUUCCAGCUUUUUUUAAUGCACUUUUCGUUUAACAAGUCAACAUCAGUUUCUUUUGUUGUAAAAGGGUCAUUGGAAGGUGGCUUUCUCUUCGGAGAAAGUGUUUAUAGCCUUUGAUCUCUGCAAUCGGAGAGACUGAGGUCUGCAGCGUAGAUCCUUCGGGGUUAGAUACAUUUGUGCUAAGCUACAGCUUUUCAUAGACAACUUGUUGACUAUGUUUAGUCUUGUAACUUACCCGCUUAUGCUAUUUUACCUACGCUUAGGAUGUUGAGCGCAUGUCUCUCUCU